GAUGAACGCUGGCGGCGUGCCUAAUACAUGCAAGUCGAGCGAACGGACGAGAAGCUUGCUUCUCUGAUGUUAGCGGCGGACGGGUGAGUCACACGUGGCUAACCUACCUAUAAGACUGGGAUCACUUCGGGAAACCGUAGCUAAUACCGGAUAAUAUUUUGAACCGCAUGGUUCAAAAGUGAAAGACGGUCUUGCUGUCACUUAUAGAUGGAUCCGCGCUGCAUUAGCUAGUUGGUAAGGUAACGGCUUACCAAGGCAACGAUGCAUAGCCGACCUGAGAGGGUGAUCGGCCACACUGGAACUGAGACACGGUCCAGACUCCUACGGGAGGCAGCAGUAGGGAAUCUUCCGCAAUGGGCGAAAGCCUGACGGAGCAACGCCGCGUGAGUGAUGAAGGUCUUCGGAUCGUAAAACUCUGUUAUUAGGGAAGAACAUAUGUGUAAGUAACUGUGCACAUCUUGACGGUACCUAAUCAGAAAGCCACGGCUAACUACGUG
This 497-nucleotide ribosomal RNA is filed under the name uncultured bacterium. Its description in RNAcentral is "partial 16S ribosomal RNA". It matches the Rfam family "Bacterial small subunit ribosomal RNA", at positions 28 to 507 of the family's 1533-position model. The record is from RNAcentral.